This 488-nucleotide long non-coding RNA is filed under the name Salmo salar (Atlantic salmon). Its description in RNAcentral is "lncRNA (ENSSSAG00000095588.1)". The record is from RNAcentral. Lineage: Eukaryota; Metazoa; Chordata; Actinopteri; Salmoniformes; Salmonidae.
GUGGUGAUAUGACAGUGUGUUAUCAGAGGCCUGAGACCAGAUGGGGGGUGAAAUAGGUGGUGACAUGACAGUGUGUUAUCAGAGGACUGAGACCAGAUGGGGGGGUGUAAUAGGUGGUGACAUGACAGUGUGUUAUCAGAGGACUGAGACCAGAUGGGGGGGUGUAAUAGGUGGUGACAUGACAGUGUGUUAUCAGAGGACUGAGACCAGAUGGGGGGUGUAAUAGGUGGUGACAUGAGGGUGGGUAUAAUUUGUGUGUUAUAAGUUUUUCAUUCAGAAUGAGAUACCGGGUAGAGAGUGAACAAUGUAAUAACGUUUUUCAACCACCACGUUUAUUCUGAAAAAUGUCUCUCUUCGUUCUGGUAGCCUCCACCAUUCCUCGUUCGUUGGUUUAGUUAUUAUUUCCGGGGUUCCUGCAUUCGCCAGGUGAACUCUGUUGCGCCUCAAUUAGGGAAUCGCUAUGGUUGAAAUGUAACUAAUCACUGCCA